This 333-nucleotide ribosomal RNA is filed under the name uncultured soil bacterium. RNAcentral's name for it is "bacterial SSU rRNA". It matches the Rfam family "Bacterial small subunit ribosomal RNA", at positions 26 to 346 of the family's 1533-position model. The record is from RNAcentral.
AGAUUGAACGCUGGCGGCAGGCCUAACACAUGCAAGUCGAGCGGCAGCACGGGUACUUGUACCUGGUGGCGAGCGGCGGACGGGUGAGUAAUGCCUAGGAAUCUGCCUGGUAGUGGGGGAUAACGCUCGGAAACGGACGCUAAUACCGCAUACGUCCUAGGGAGAAAGCAGGGGACCUUCGGGCCUUGCGCUAUCAGAUGAGCCUAGGUCGGAUUAGCUAGUCGGGUGUAGGUAAGUGGCUCAACCAGGCGACGUAUCCGUAACUGGUACUGAGAGGUAUAGAUCAGUCCAACACUGGAACUGAAGACCACGGUCCAAGACCUCCGUAACGGG